GUUUUAUAAUUGGUGUGAAAAUACUAGCGAGGCUUGAUCAUAAAAGUAUUCAGAUGCGCAAAAGAUUACAAGUGAGUGGUUGCAAACUCUAGAGGAGUUUGUGAGGUAUAGCGCAGACAAUUCAAGAGUUGUUGCUUGUUAGUAAAACCCAACUACUGAACUUGAUGAGCUCAGUAAAACUACUGAACUUGUGAGUACCUAUUAAAUAAGUACCCAACAAAAUAAAGAAGAGCUCAUUAAGUUCCUUCUCUUGAAAAACUGUUAUGCAUUCCCAAAUUCACCGAGUCACCCCAAAAGCAAGCAGUGCUUACGUCCCAAAUUGCAGAACAUGAUUCUGAUUAUAAAUGAAGAUAUUGGUAAAAUCAGUAAGUUUCUCAUAGACCAUACAAAUAAUAGACAUUCUGAUUACAUAAAACUAAACUUUGCCAUAAUGCAGAUCAUACAAAUUUCACAACCCAAUCCUUCCUGAGAGAGAAAAAACCCAAAACACACAAAUUUUACAAUCUUAAUGAAAUGCCCACGCUGCAUUUUUUCCUCUUGCAAUAAUGUUUUUUGUGACAAUUCCUUUUGCAAUAAUGUUAUUACUUCCAUUGUAUCAAUGAUUCGUCGCCAGCUUCUGCGAGUUCAAAGAUGCAUAAAUAAAUUCAACAAAAGAAAUUACAUAAUGAUCCAUUUGAACAAGAAAAAUUUUAUAUUUUAUAAGUAUACUUAUAUCUAUGAGUAUUUAUAGUUGUAAUUCCAAAUUCACAAUAUAAUUUAUAUUCAAUAAAUCUACUCAGCCAAAUAAAAGACUAAAAUUCAUGUAUCAAAUUGAAAUCCUCCAUUUAAAUGACUAUUUAACUUCAUAAAAAUUUAAAAAAAGGAUUUAAUUUCAGAAGUAAUACCUUUCCCAGGAACAAUUAUAACAGGGGCUGCUUUACAAUGGUGGAAGCAGUACUCACUCACACUUCCCUGCAGCACACUGCGAGAUAAUAGCAAGAUUUCCUUAAUUGAGCUGUUUUCUAACAGAACAGAGAAAAACAGGGAGAGGGUACCUUUGAACUAUGCCUCUGCCUCUGGUACCCAUCACUACAGCUGCAGGCCUCAAUCUCUCUGCUUCUUUACAAAUAACCUUACCUGCAUCCCCUUCCACAAUCCGAGCCACACUCUUCACCAUAACAACCUGGAAAGCCUCCACAGCAAGCUUCUCCAUAAGCCCUUGGGCCAUCUCAUAAACAACAUCAUUUUUCACGCUGGAAACAGCAUGGACAAGAUGGAUAGUAUCAGCUAGCCUGCAGAGAUGGAUCAAGGCCCAAUCAAAGGCGUGUUUGCUGUUGGGUCCAUGAUCGAUAGCUAUGAGUAUGUCUCUGCCUCUCCUCCUCUCUCCACUCUCUCUCUCGAGCUCUGGUUUAGGAACCACAGGGAUCAAAGAUGGAAGAGUCACUUCUCUCCAAUUGUACUCUUCUUCUUCAUUCAGAACCUCCAUUUCUUCGUUAUCUCCGUUCUUCUCGCUCGUCAAACAAUGAAUCUGUUAUUGCUUUUGUUUUGUUUUAGUGGUGGAGCUCUUGGACUUUUCUUU
Molecule: unclassified non-coding RNA, 1558 nt
Filed under: Hevea brasiliensis (rubber tree)
Lineage: Eukaryota; Viridiplantae; Streptophyta; Magnoliopsida; Malpighiales; Euphorbiaceae
Source: RNAcentral